GAUGAAGAACGCAGCGAAAUGCGAAAAGCAAUGUGAAUUGCAGAAUUCAGUGAAUCAUCGAAUCUUUGAACGCACAUUGCGCCCGCUGGUACUCCGGCGGGCACGCCUGUCCGAGCGUCAUUUCAACCCUCAAGCCCUCCUUCGGGAUGGGCCUGGUGUUGGGGCUCGGCCGCCAUCUCCGGCGGCCGUCCCCUAAAUACAGUGGCGGUCACGUCGCGACUCCUUUGCGUAGUAGAAACACCUCGCUCCGGAUAGCAACGCGGUCCACGCCGUAAAACCCCCAAUUUUCAAUGGUUGACCUCGGAUCAGGUGGGAAUACCCGCUGAACUUAAGCAUAUCAAUAAGCGGAGGA
This 352-nucleotide unclassified non-coding RNA is filed under the name soil metagenome. RNAcentral describes it as "partial contains 5.8S ribosomal RNA, internal transcribed spacer 2, and large subunit ribosomal RNA". The stretch from base 1 to 120 matches the Rfam family "5.8S ribosomal RNA", at positions 35 to 154 of the family's 154-position model. The record is from RNAcentral.